RNAcentral lists this ribosomal RNA (329 nucleotides) under uncultured eukaryote. RNAcentral describes it as "partial 18S ribosomal RNA". It matches the Rfam family "Eukaryotic small subunit ribosomal RNA", at positions 1470 to 1796 of the family's 1831-position model. The record is from RNAcentral.
CCCUUAGAUGUUCUGGGCUGCACGCGCGCUACACUGAAGCGUUCAACGAGUAUUUCACCUUGCCCGGGAGGGUCGGGUAAUCUUUUUAAAACGCUUCGUGAUGGGGAUAGAUUAUUGCAAUUAUUAAUCUUCAACGAGGAAUUCCUAGUAAACGCAAGUCAUCAGCUUGCAUUGAUUACGUCCCUGCCCUUUGUACACACCGCCCGUCGCACCUACCGAUUGAAUGGUCCGGUGAAAUCUUCGGAUUGAGACUUUGAUUUCUUCACGGAAAACGCUGUUUUAAAAAGUUGAUUAAACCUUACCAUUUAGAGGAAGGUGAAGUCGUAACA